Long non-coding RNA from Anolis carolinensis (green anole), 1029 nucleotides. RefSeq lists it as uncharacterized. The transcript is spliced from 2 exons. The record is from RefSeq and is a predicted model, not a curated record. NCBI's taxonomy places the organism in Eukaryota, Metazoa, Chordata, Lepidosauria, Squamata, Anolidae.
CAACCGCUGCAACAAGGCCUCGGACCGUGCUCUCCUCCUGACGGAUCAGAACCUCUACAAGUUGGACCCCAAGAAGCAGUACAAGGUCAUGCGGUCCGUCCCGCUCAGCAUGAGAAGCCCAGCCACAAGGAUACUGUGAUGACUCAUGGGCCAUGUAGUUCCGUUCCCAGCACUGUUGUAACGGAUGAAGAGGAAAACUUAGGUUUCCCACCGUUUCAGCCAGAAUUGGAACUUUCUCAGCCAGAAAGGGAGCCCUUGCACCUGCAGGAGACUUGCCUUCCAGAGGUUUGCCAAACAAACCCUGAGCCGAUGUCUCCCCCAUUUUCUCGCCGUAAUUAUUAUCAACAACAAAAAGGAGUUCACCAGGCUAAUCGCAGAAGCCUGAGAAUCGCAGCCAGGCAUUCAGCUGAUUAAGCCGGCUUCCAUGAGAAACUUUAGGGAGUCAUGCAUCUGGACACAGAGAUUGACUUUCGGUUCUGUUUCCCCAGAGAAGUGUUCUUUGGUGGGAAAACGAGACCCUAUUUAGGUUCCUUGCCCCGUAGGAAUCUUGCGGAGUCAAUUCGUCAGCUACUGGAGUAGGUUUGUGUGUGGACAGCGCUACUCCCGUUUCCAAGCCUUCGUUCCCAUUCCCAGCCUUGUUUGCUCCACGGAUCUUGCCUUGCUUCCCAGGACUCAGCCUUGCUCCACGGACCUUGCCUUGCUUUCCGGACCUUGCCAAGUAUUACCACGGAUCUUGUUCUUGCUCCUCGUUUCUUGUUGCCUUGAAUCAAGCCUUGUGUUCCAAGAAUCAAGUUUACUUCCUAGCCUUGUUUAAGUUCAUGGACUAAAGGACCUUGUCAUCUCCCCUCACUUUGCUUGGCAAAGUGAGUGUUUCGGUUAUUGGAUUACAACUUUGGACCUUAAUAUCUCAUAUUGGACAUUGUUUUCCUGGACUAUAAUUGACCUUUCCUGAAAGGUCAGCUUCUGAACUAUAUUCUAUACUCAUUUUAUUUGACUUUAUAUAUUUCCUUAAUAAAGAUAUUAGAUAGA